This is a non-coding RNA of Paramuricea clavata, 281 nucleotides long. The record is from the annotation of a GenBank genome assembly. NCBI's taxonomy places the organism in Eukaryota, Metazoa, Cnidaria, Anthozoa, Malacalcyonacea, Plexauridae.
UGGACAUGUUGACGCAGGCGCAUGCAAAUGUUUCUGGACCCUCCAUCUCAGCCGCGCCGGGCGGCCAGAAGAGAGUCUGGGACUGAACUACGAUCUACGUUACUUGACUUAUUUACCAUUUUGCCAUCUGUUGUAAAUUAGGUCCGGUUUUGACAGCGAACUUUUCAUGCGCCGAAUCUAAUUGUCGUAGAUACGGCAAAAUAUAGGAAACUGAUUUAGACGUCGAACUUAAUUGUACUGUACCAAACUGCGAGGACACUAUAUUUGAUAUAUUUACAAUG